AGGGUCUCGACAAUGGAGAGGAUUUUCCGUCGGAUCUUUGGAUGGCCUAACGUCAUUCGUUUUGCAUGAAAAAUUGAGGAGGUGUUCUACUCGAUGAGAGGAACGAUUCUAUAAUGGCCGAUCUUGUUUUUAAUGGUCUGAUUCGUAGAUAUGUGCUUUCAUAAUAAGGUGGCCCAGCAGGUUUGAGACUGGAUUUUACCUAAUACAUGGCUCAUGGGCCGGGGAAGCAUCAUGUAUCCGGAGCUUAUAUCUUCCACAUGAGGUGGGGAUUGGAGAGACAGAGAAAACUUUGAUAUUGCAAAAAGUUGAGUGUGCAUGCCAUUUUGGUCUCGAUUGAAAUUUGGCCCAAGGCGUUCCAUCAGAGCCACAGAACACCAAAAUGAUUCCGCCUCAUCGUUCACUACAAACAAUAUUGGGUACCGAAGAUCGCUCAUACCCUAUAAGACACAUAGAGGUUCUUAAUAAGCAAGCUCCAACUGUUGAUACGGUAGAUUGUAGAUCCAUAUAUAGGAGUUAAACCCUAUGGAUAGGGAUCUAUAUCAUGUAAAUAUAUAGCCUCCUCUCCAGCCGCCUUAGAUGUUUAUGGUAUUACGUACACUUUAGAAUAGGUUCAGUAGAUCUUUGAUUAAUAAAAUUCUCACAGUACCAUGUAGAUAUUUGGUGAUCGAUUCUGUAUGUUAUCAUCAUAUCCCAUGUAACGUGUUUUAUUUAGAAGCUUUUAAGUCACUGUUGCA
This is a long non-coding RNA of Vitis vinifera (wine grape), 734 nucleotides long. RefSeq lists it as uncharacterized. The record is from RefSeq and is a predicted model, not a curated record. Lineage: Eukaryota; Viridiplantae; Streptophyta; Magnoliopsida; Vitales; Vitaceae. The transcript is spliced from 2 exons.